RNAcentral lists this ribosomal RNA (888 nucleotides) under gamma proteobacterium SCGC AAA288-I04. RNAcentral describes it as "SSU rRNA". It matches the Rfam family "Bacterial small subunit ribosomal RNA", at positions 32 to 896 of the family's 1533-position model. The record is from RNAcentral. Lineage: Bacteria; Pseudomonadati; Pseudomonadota; Gammaproteobacteria.
GACGCUGGCGGCAUGCCUAACACAUGCAAGUCGAACGGUAACAGAUAAGAUGAUCUCUUCGGAGUGAAUCUUUGCUGACGAGUGGCGGACGGGUGAGUAAUGCUUGGGAAUCUGCCCAAUAGUGGGGGAAAACUCGGGGAAACCCGGGCUAAUACCGCAUAAUCUCUACGGAGGAAAGAGGGCCUCUACAUGUAAGCUCUCGCUAAUGGAUGAGCCCAAGUCAGAUUAGCUUGUUGGUAAGGUAAUGGCUUACCAAGGCUACGAUCUGUAGCUGGUCUGAGAGGACGACCAGCCACACUGGGACUGAGACACGGCCCAGACUCCUACGGGAGGCAGCAGUGGGGAAUAUUGCACAAUGGGCGCAAGCCUGAUGCAGCAAUGCCGCGUGUGUGAAGAAGGCUCUAGGGUUGUAAAGCACUUUCAAUAGAGAAGAAAAGCUUGAAAUUAAUACCUUCAAGCCUUGACGUAACCUAUACAAGAAGCACCGGCUAAUUCCGUGCCAGCAGCCGCGGUAAUACGGGAGGUGCGAGCGUUAAUCGGAAUUACUGGGCGUAAAGCGAGCGUAGGCUGUUAAUUAAGUCGAAUGUGAAAUCCCCGGGCUCAACCUGGGAACUGCAUCCGAAACUAUUUAACUAGAGUAUGGGAGAGGAAAGUAGAAUUUCCGGUGUAGCGGUGAAAUGCGUAGAUAUCGGAAGGAAUACCAGUGGCGAAGGCGGCUUUCUGGAACAAUACUGACGCUGAGGUUCGAAAGCGUGGGGAGCAAACAGGAUUAGAUACCCUGGUAGUCCACGCCGUAAACGAUGAGAACUAGAUGUUGGGAGGAUUGGCCUCUCAGUGUCGCAGCUAACGCAAUAAGUUCUCCGCCUGGGGAGUACGACCGCAAGUACA